This is a long non-coding RNA of Passer domesticus (house sparrow), 1367 nucleotides long. RefSeq lists it as uncharacterized. Lineage: Eukaryota; Metazoa; Chordata; Aves; Passeriformes; Passeridae. The transcript is spliced from 3 exons. The record is from RefSeq and is a predicted model, not a curated record.
GAUGGCAAUGAUAUGGAAUGUUACAGAGCACAUGAUCUUCCUCCUCUCGCUGGCUGUCAUCUGCAGCUUCUCCCACUGGCAAGAAACCAGGAACCAGAGCAAGAGAUUAGGAGUUUAUUGUAGUUACUAGACAGUAUGAAAAGAGAAUAUUGAAAAGAACAAAAACCAGGCAGGAGACCAGUUUCCUUCUAACAAGGAUUCUAAAAGUCAGAUGGCAUCAUUACUUUGGUCACAGCAUGUCCUGGGCUCCUCUGCUGGACAAUACCUCCUGUGAACUGCUGGCUCCACAGUUACAAAACCAGCUUGCACCACCUCACUGCUUCAAGAGAGAUGACUGAAAAGCAAAACAGAAAAUAUUCUGCAAAUUGCACACUAGCCCAGAGAGGAGACUCAAAUCUGGCACAAAUAUUCAGAAAAUGUUCACCACCCACUUCAGGCAGAGUGAGCACAGAAAAAAGCCAGCAGUCAACUGACAACUACAACUCUUCUUUGGAUUCUCCAGAGUAAUUUCUUUCCUGUCCUAUGUGCAAAGUAUUGCCUGUGCAGACAACAAGGCUUAUGACGACCAAUUCUGCAGCUCAGAAACAACUACACUCUCUGACAAGGGGGUACAAAGCUAAAAUCUGCACUUUUAGAAGGCAAUGCUCCACCACAGUCAUAAGAAAAAGACUGUCCACUGGACAUGCUACGCUCUACACUUUGCAGACAGUACAUCUCUCUGAAAAAAUAAGAAGUCUUUGAAAUCUGCUCUAUUUUCUGUCAGAAGUCACUUCUAGGAUUUGGACAAGUUCUCAUAACAGUUUUUGGACAGCUACAUUCCAAACUUCUCAUCCUACAUGAUUUAGGCUCAUCAUAACUGAAUUUAAUGUUUUUCAUUUAUUCUAGUUCCAGACUGAGGUUAUCAUUAUUAACCUCUUCCACUUUGGUAGAUACGACAAGAUUUGUCUGUGCUAAGAAUACCAGUGACUUUCAUCUCAAAAUCCUGAUGUCAGGACAAUUGAAAGCUCGGAUGUGGGAGAACAAAAUGAGGAUAGAAGCACCUAUACUUUAAGUCACCAGAUUUAUGAAAGAUACUUAUCUAUUAAACAAAAAUACAGGUUCUAGUCAUUUCCAGCCUAAGAAAAGGUAAAAAUUAAACCACAUUUAACAGGGAACCAUCUUCUACUUACAACGUAUUAUUUUCACUAAGUCUGAUCCUUUAAAGAGAAAAGGAAAGCUACAAAUUUUAACUAAAUUACAUCCAAGAAGUGUGAUUUAAAGUAAAUUUAAUGUAAAAUCCUCAUAUUUUGAAGAGAACUUAAAAGCCAUGUGGAUCUUAGAGCCACAAACUAAAGCAGCUAACAGUAAUACAAAGCUCCCCAUUAAAA